RNAcentral lists this ribosomal RNA (531 nucleotides) under uncultured bacterium. RNAcentral's name for it is "partial 16S ribosomal RNA". It matches the Rfam family "Bacterial small subunit ribosomal RNA", at positions 28 to 523 of the family's 1533-position model. The record is from RNAcentral.
GACGAACGCUGGCGGCGUGCCUAAUACAUGCAAGUCGAACGCACUGACGUCGACAGAAGGUGCUUGCACUGGAAGUUGAUUGACGUGAGUGGCGGACGGGUGAGUAACACGUGAGUAACCUGCCCUUAAGCGGGGGAUAACAUUUGGAAACAGAUGCUAAUACCGCAUAAAAGUUGAGAUCACAUGGUCUUAAUUUGAAAGACGGCCUUUGGCUGUCACUUAAGGAUGGACCCGCGGCGUAUUAGCUAGUUGGUGAGAUAAUAGCCCACCAAGGCGAUGAUACGUAGCCGACCUGAGAAGGUAAUCGGCCACAUUGGGACUGAGACACGGCCCAAACUCCUACGGGAGGCAGCAGUAGGGAAUCUUCCACAAUGGACGAAAGUCUGAUGGAGCAACGCCGCGUGAGUGAAGAAGGUUUUCGGAUCGUAAAACUCCGUUGUUGGAGAAGAACAGGGACUAGAGUAACUGUUAGUCCUUUGACGGUAUCCAACCAGAAAGCCACGGCUAACUACGUGCCAGCAGCCGCAGUAA